RNAcentral lists this ribosomal RNA (354 nucleotides) under uncultured Rhodoferax sp. Its description in RNAcentral is "bacterial SSU rRNA". It matches the Rfam family "Bacterial small subunit ribosomal RNA", at positions 1026 to 1382 of the family's 1533-position model. Lineage: Bacteria; Pseudomonadati; Pseudomonadota; Betaproteobacteria; Burkholderiales; Comamonadaceae. The record is from RNAcentral.
GCCGUAACACAGGUGCUGCAUGGCUGUCGUCAGCUCGUGUCGUGAGAUGUUGGGUUAAGUCCCGCAACGAGCGCAACCCUUGUCAUUAGUUGCUACAUUCAGUUGGGCACUCUAAUGAGACUGCCGGUGACAAGCCGGAGGAAGUGGGGAUGACGUCCAAGUCCUCAUGGCCCUUAUAGGUGGGGCUACACACGUCAUACAAUGGCUGGUACAAAGGGUUGCCAACCCGCGAGGGGGAGCCAAUCCCAUAAAGCCAGUCGUAGUCCGGAUCGUAGUCUGCAACUCGACUACGUGAAGUCGGAAUCGCUAGUAAUCGUGGAUCAGAAUGUCACGGUGAAUACGUUCCCGGGUCUU